Molecule: ribosomal RNA, 1398 nt
Filed under: metagenome
Description: bacterial SSU rRNA
Rfam family: Bacterial small subunit ribosomal RNA
Source: RNAcentral
AGAGUUUGAUCCUGGCUCAGGAUGAACGCUGGCGGCGUGCUUAACACAUGCAAGUCGAACGAUUAACCCGCCCUCGGGCGGUUAUAGAGUGGCGAACGGGUGAGUAACACGUGACCAACCUGCCCCCUUCACCGGGAUAACCCAGGGAAACCUGCGCUAAUACCGGAUACUCCGGGACCCCCGCAUGGGGCUCCCGGGAAAGCCCAGGCGGAAGGGGAUGGGGUCGCGGCCCAUUAGGUAGACGGCGGGGUAACGGCCCACCGUGCCCGCGAUGGGUAGCCGGGUUGAGAGACCGAUCGGCCACAUUGGGACUGAGAUACGGCCCAGACUCCUACGGGAGGCAGCAGUGGGGAAUUUUGCGCAAUGGGGGAAACCCUGACGCAGCAACGCCGCGUGCGGGACGACGGCCUUCGGGUUGUAAACCGCUUUCAGCAGGGAAUAAUUUUGAAGGUACCUGCAGAAGAAGCUCCGGCUAACUACGUGCCAGCAGCCGCGGUAAUACGUAGGGAGCGAGCGUUAUCCGGAAUCAUUGGGCGUAAAGCGCGCGUAGGCGGCCCGUCAAGCGGGGUUUCAAAUCCAGGGGCUCAACCUCUGGCCGGACCCCGAACUGGCGGGCUCGAGCGCGGUAGAGGAAGGUGGAAUUCCCAGUGUAGCGGUGAAAUGCGCAGAUAUUGGGAAGAACACCGAUGGCGAAGGCAGCCUUCUGGGCCGCCACUGACGCUGAGGCGCGAAAGCUAGGGGAGCGAACAGGAUUAGAUACCCUGGUAGUCCUAGCCGUAAACGAUGGGCACUAGGUGUGGGGGGACAUUCCCUCCGUGCCGCAGCAAACGCAUUAAGUGCCCCGCCUGGGGAGUACGGCCGCAAGGCUAAAACUCAAAGGAAUUGACGGGGGCCCACACAAGCAGUGGAGUAUGUGGUUUAAUUCGACGCAACGCGAAGAACCUUACCAAGUCUUGACAUCCCUUGACGAUGCUGGAAACAGUAUUUCUCUUCGGAGCAAGGAGACAGGUGGUGCAUGGUUGUCGUCAGCUCGUGUCGUGAGAUGUUGGGUUAAGUCCCGCAACGAGCGCAACCCUUAUGGUCAGUUACUACGCAAGAGGACUCUGGCCAGACUGCCGUUGACAAAACGGAGGAAGGUGGGGAUGACGUCAAAUCAUCAUGCCCUUUAUGACCUGGGCUACACACGUACUACAAUGGCGUUAAACAAAGAGAAGCAAGACCGCGAGGUGGAGCAAAACUCAGAAACAACGUCCCAGUUCGGACUGCAGGCUGCAACUCGCCUGCACGAAGUCGGAAUUGCUAGUAAUCGUGGAUCAGCAUGCCACGGUGAAUACGUUCCCGGGCCUUGUACACACUGCCCGUCACACCAUGAGAGCCGGGGGGACCCGAAGUCGGUAG